Molecule: ribosomal RNA, 468 nt
Filed under: uncultured bacterium
Lineage: Bacteria
Description: partial 16S ribosomal RNA
Rfam family: Bacterial small subunit ribosomal RNA
Source: RNAcentral
GACGAACGCUGGCGGCGUGCUUAACACAUGCAAGUCGAACGGAAAGGCCCUGCUUUUGUGGGGUGCUCGAGUGGCGAACGGGUGAGUAACACGUGAGUAACCUGCCCUUGACUUUGGGAUAACUUCAGGAAACUGGGGCUAAUACCGGAUAGGAGCUCCUGCUGCAUGGUGGGGGUUGGAAAGUUUCGGCGGUUGUGGAUGGACUCGCGGCUUAUCAGCCUGUUGGUGGGGUAGUGGCUUACCAAGGCUUUGACGGGUAGCCGGCCUGAGAGGGUUACCGGCCACAUUGGGACUGAGAUACGGCCCAGACUCCUACGGGAGGCAGCAGUGGGGAAUAUUGCACAAUGGGCGGAAGCCUGAUGCAGCAACGCCGCGUGCGGGAUGACGGCCUUCGGGUUGUAAACCGCUUUCGCCUGUGACGAAGCGUGAGUGACGGUAAUGGGUAAAGAAGCACCGGCUAACUACGUG